Mustela lutreola (European mink) is the source of this 1081-nucleotide long non-coding RNA. RefSeq lists it as uncharacterized. NCBI's taxonomy places the organism in Eukaryota, Metazoa, Chordata, Mammalia, Carnivora, Mustelidae. The record is from RefSeq and is a predicted model, not a curated record. The transcript has 2 exons.
GCCUACCCCAGCGCCGCCCGGUGGUCCAUCCCCGGGCUCUUCCCUGGCGGGAGAAGCAUUGCGAUCGAGAGUCAGAUGCCUGCCCGGGUCGGAAUGACCUGGACGAGGUCGGCUUUGUCCGUCUCGAGAGCGUCGGACUGCCUGACGGCAAGUACUGGGACCGCUAGGGUUCGAGCCGUCCUCGCCGCGCUCACUCCCCCCGCCCUCCUAGUGGGGGAGGAGCUCCGAGUUGGGGAGAAGCGCUCGUCGACAGCGCAGUGAGUGAGUCCGCGCUCCCCCGGAGUACUCCGAGUCCCGGUCCUGCUCGUCCCGGUGCAGCGCCUACGGUGGGCAGUGAGCCCGCGCGCCCCUGGGUUCAGCCCCGAGUCCCCGUCCUGCUUGUGCAGCCCCUCCGAUACUUAUUAACAGGGACAAAGAGUAACUUCAUAGUGGAAAAACUUGAUCAACACACCUCAACCAGGUAAUUAAGGUAUACAACGACAGCAUCAGCCCCCAACGUCCUAAUGCAUCAAGAAAGAUGCAGCAGCACUCCUGUGGUUUUCUUGCCAAAAAUGUAUCCCCUCAAUUAGAUCAUGGGAAAACUUCAGAGAAAUCCAAGCAAGGACGUGGUACAGCGUAACUGAGUACUCUUUAAAAGGGCCAAGCUCCCAAGAGAAGGAAAUUCUGAGGAACUGUCCCAGGCUGGAGGUGUCUAAGGAGAAUGACAACUGAAUGCAAUGUGGGGUUGCAGUUUGGCUUGGACUAGGAACAGUACUACUGUGGAAAACCAUGAAAUCUGAGUGAAGUCUGUAGUAUAGCUGACAGUAUCUGCCGUGGACUGAAUGUUUGUGUGUUCCUGGAACUUCAUCUAUUGAAACCUAAUCCCCAGUGUGAUGGUGUUAGGAGGUAAGGCCUUUGGGAAGUGCUUAGAUCAUGAGAAUGGAACCCUGAUGAAUGGCUUCAGUACCCUUGGAAAGGAGCUGAGAAAAGACAGCUGUCUGUGAACCCAAAAGUGGACUUUCACCAGGCACCAAAUCUGCUUAUACCUUGGUUUUGGACUUCCUGCCUCCAGAACUGCAAGAAAUAAAUUGUUUUUUAAGCA